RNAcentral lists this ribosomal RNA (426 nucleotides) under Triticum aestivum (bread wheat). RNAcentral describes it as "partial small subunit ribosomal RNA". Lineage: Eukaryota; Viridiplantae; Streptophyta; Magnoliopsida; Poales; Poaceae. The record is from RNAcentral.
AUGCACGCGGCAAAAAUUCCACCUCGGCACUUGCACCCCCAUGCAUCUGUGAUCCUUCAUUCGCACGCCAAGACCAGACCCGUCAAGUAUAACUACACCAUGUUGAUACGGGAACCACUACCGUCGACCUUCGAAGAACAUGGUUUUUCCGACUACCCCUUUGUUUUAUCAAGACCGUCAAUUCCCUCGACGACAAGCGCACGAUUACGCGGAUUGUACCAAGUACCCCUUCGUUUCAUCGAGACCAGCAAGUCCGAAGACCCCAAGUACCACGACAACCCCGAAGGGAUUCAAAUCCGUCAAGUUCCUCUACCGAUGACUCGAACGGCUACGAAACAUGUACCACUACCGUCGAGCCGCGAAGACCCCGUGGACGUCAAGUUCCGUGUCGUGACCCCGAACAUCUACGGAAACUUGUGCGACUAA